Molecule: ribosomal RNA, 184 nt
Filed under: uncultured Pseudomonadota bacterium
Lineage: Bacteria; Pseudomonadati; Pseudomonadota
Description: uncultured proteobacterium partial 16S ribosomal RNA
Rfam family: Bacterial small subunit ribosomal RNA
Source: RNAcentral
ACUCCUACGGGAGGCAGCAGUGGGGAAUAUUGCACAAUGGGCGAAAGCCUGAUGCAGCCAUGCCGCGUGUAUGAAGAAGGCCUUCGGGUUGUAAAGUACUUUCAGUCGUGAGGAAGGGUGUGUAGUUAAUAGCUGCAUAUCUUGACGUUAGCGACAGAAGAAGCACCGGCUAACUCCGUGCCAG